GGACUACCGGGGUUUCUAAUCCCGUUCGCUCCCCUAGCUUUCGCACCUCAGCGUCAGAAACGAGCCAGGACCCUGCCUUCGCCUUUGGUGUUCCUCCGGAUAUCUACGCAUUUCACUGCUCCACCCGGAGUUCCAUGUCCCUCUCUCGCUCUCAAGCCCACCAGUUUUCGAAGUCCUUCACCAGUUAAGCUGGUGACUUUCACCCCGAACUUGGCAGACCGCCCGCGUGCCCUUUACGCCCAAUAAUUCCGGACAACGCUCGCCCCCUACGUAUUACCGCGGCUGCUGGCAC
RNAcentral lists this ribosomal RNA (292 nucleotides) under uncultured bacterium. RNAcentral's name for it is "partial 16S ribosomal RNA". The record is from RNAcentral.